This 497-nucleotide ribosomal RNA is filed under the name uncultured bacterium. RNAcentral describes it as "partial 16S ribosomal RNA". It matches the Rfam family "Bacterial small subunit ribosomal RNA", at positions 28 to 507 of the family's 1533-position model. The record is from RNAcentral.
GAUGAACGCUGGCGGCGUGCCUAAUACAUGCAAGUCGAGCGAACAGACGAGGAGCUUGCUCCUCUGACGUUAGCCGCGGACGGGUGAGUAACACGUGGAUAACCUACCUAUAAGACUGGGAUAACUUCGGGAAACCGGAGCUAAUACCGGAUAAUAUCUUGAACCGCAUGGUUCAAUAGUGAAAGACGGUUUUGCUGUCACUUAUAGAUGGAUCCGCGCCGCAUUAGCUAGUUGGUAAGGUAACGGCUUACCAAGGCAACGAUGCGUAGCCGACCUGAGAGGGUGAUCGGCCACACUGGAACUGAGACACGGUCCAGACUCCUACGGGAGGCAGCAGUAGGGAAUCUUCCGCAAUGGGCGAAAGCCUGACGGAGCAACGCCGCGUGAGUGAUGAAGGUCUUCGGAUCGUAAAACUCUGUUAUUAGGGAAGAACAAAUGUGUAAGUAACUAUGCACGUCUUGACGGUACCUAAUCAGAAAGCCACGGCUAACUACGUG